This 326-nucleotide ribosomal RNA is filed under the name uncultured bacterium. Its description in RNAcentral is "bacterial SSU rRNA". It matches the Rfam family "Bacterial small subunit ribosomal RNA", at positions 335 to 677 of the family's 1533-position model. The record is from RNAcentral.
ACUCCUACGGGAGGCAGCAGUGGGAAUAUUGCGCAAUGGGCGAAAGCCUGACGCAGCAACGCCGCGUGUGGGAUGACAGCUUUCGGGUUGUAAAACCACUUUCAGUGACGACGAAAAUGACGGUAGUCACAGAAGAAGGUCCGGCCAACUACGUGCCAGCAGCCGCGGUAACACGUAGGGACCGAGCGUUGUCCGGAUUUAUUGGGCGUAAAGAGCUCGUAGGCGGUUCCGUAAGUCGGAUGUGAAAACUCAGGGCUCAACCCCGAGACGCCAUCUGAUACUGCGGUGACUGGAGUCCGGUAGGGGAGCAUGGAAUUCCUGGUGUA